AAAACAUUUUAUUUGAUGCAGAGAUGCUAGGGUACAAAAACAACAUUCUGCAGAUGUCGCCUGUGGACACUAUCACCUAUUUACAGUUAUGUACAAAUCAAAUAAGACAGUAACAUCUUCAAUGUAAAAACACAGCAUGCUGCUACAGUCUGCUGGUCAGUGCUCACUAUUCCACCAAACCUCACAAAGGAGAAACUUAAAGAUGAAACAAAGACAAUGGCAAUAACCACUGUUCCACAGGCUUUCCCCCCAGACAAACAGGGAGCUUCUGCAGUGAAAAACAAAACAGUGAAAAUAAAAGUCAUCUACUCUCUAAAUGAAUACAUUUGGUUUUUACAAAAGCUUUUGCUCUCUCCAGACUCACUACAUCUUUUUCUUGAGACAGAAAAUAACCACUUAUUAAAAAUAACAUGCUUACACAUUAGCGUCAUCCAACGGUAAUUAUUUUUUGGCUAAUGACAGGAGCGGCCAACUUUGUCUUUGUCACAUACAAACAGAAGAUAGCUUCUUUGAAUCUUCUCCACUGAAAUUUUCUUUGAUAAAAACAUCAGAUACACAGUCAUAAUGGUUUGCUUUUGUCAGGCAUCUGCUUGUACAAACCACAGUGCUUGGUCGACCUGGAGCCAUGGCUCCAGCCCUUUAGAACACGGACAUGUUCCUUGCAGAGUCUGUGGUCCUCACUGAAUUUUGGAGAGGAGUCGAAGAGCAGGAGGGAAGGCAACUGCCCAAAGGGGCCUCACUCGACCUCUUAGCAAAUUAGCCCUUAGCAACUGCUAUCUUGUCUGUGGCUAAAGUCUGCACCAUUUAAUAAUACUAUGAGUCAUGAAUUAAAGGUGACAUAUACAGAUAUAUAAAAAUAGAAUCCAAAAUUGGAAGGGAGGGGUGGUUGCCACUCAGAUAGUAAGAGCUGGUCUUGAAGGGUAUCUUGAAGCAGCCCAGGAAUGACAUCAGACACAUCAAGAAUAAGCACCAAGUGUUUGAACACACAAGGGAAAAAAAUAACAAACCCACAUAUGAUAGAGGACUACUGCUGAGAAAAAAAAUGUAGUAAGCAACCUUCAAAAUGAACACAGGUGAUAUACCACUUUUUAAAAAGCGUCUUUAUACUUCUAAACAGUAAAAGAAGCUGGGUACGUAAGAAUUUCUGUUAAUCCCCAUCCUGAGCUUGGCUUUCACAAGGCACCAAUGUGAAUAAGGCAGCACAUUCUAUUUGGGCAACUAAACUGAGUGUGAAGCUGAGAAACAGAAGGGCAGUGAAAAUUAUUAAGCCCCUGGAAAACAAGAGCUGUGAAGAAUGAGUAGGGGUGGGAUUAUUUAUCACCGGAAUAAAAAUACUAGAGGGAUGAUUUCACUGUGGUUUUCAAAUACAUGGAAGGUGAGCAGCUGUUCUUUUUCCACUACACGCUGAACAAAAGAAGGCUGGUUUGAAUUUCUAUAAGGAAGAUGUACAAAGAACUAUCUGAUCAGCAGGGGAGGUUACAGAAGCUCCUUCGCUGAAAAUCCAGAAUCACAUCCACAGCCAAAUGACUGAAAUAAUUCAUGCACAACCCUUUCUGUUUGACACUAGAUGGGCACCUGCCAGAUAAUCCAAACUCUCUCUCACCCCCAAAGCUCUGCUAUCAGCAUGAAAGCUAUUGGCUUACAGUCUGUGAUCUCCUUCUGUUUAUUUUAACCCUAAACCUGGAAAGGAGGUGAUAUAGCAAGGAUGACCCAACUCCAUGAGGACUCCUGACUGGUAUCUCCGUAUUCUGUCACAAAUCUCCAAAACAGAUCAAUUCACAAGUUAUUUAAAACUGAAGACGGAGCAAAUGCCUGGCUCUAGUGGAUACUCAGGACUCCUUGCCCUGCUCUCCACAAUGUCUGCUUUCCUCAUUAGGGCUUGGCCUAAGCUCAGCAUUAAAAAAGUGAUUUAAUUCAUCUAAAAAAGUGAUUAAGCCAAGAGUUAAAACUAUAAAUAAGGACCUUUAAGGUGUGGAAUUUAAAUGAAACUAUUCCAAGUGUCACAUUUUAUAAGUGAGGAGAAAUCUGAUUUUGAAAUUAACAAUUGCUUUGCCUUUUUCUUAAAACAUAUGAAGUAUGAAGAAGCAAUCAAAAGAUCUCAAAUGUAUUCACAAUCAUAGCAAAUUUCUUUAGGGAAGCAAUGGGUAAAAAAAAAAAAAAAAGUAAUCUAACUUCUGGCUGCAUUUAGCAAGAGUAUUUUCUUGUGGCACCAGACAUAUGUAAUUACCAUGGAUGCCUUUCUUUUCAAAUUUUCUAAAGCAGAUGUGGCAAACUGAUAGCUAGUGGGCCAAAUCAGGUCCACCCAUGGGUUUCCUGAAUUCAAUUAAGAAUUUUAUUGCCCAUACUAAAAAAAAUAAUCAGAUUUUUUUCAUGUAAAACUCCCAGAUUCCCAGUUUCUCUUGAAAAAUGGGACAAUCAGGAAACACUAUAUGGUCACAACUGGCUGGAGUGGCUGCUCCCUGUAGUACAGCACAAGGGUGUCUGCUGGCCACAGUCUCCACCAGGCCCCACUGUCUCUCUGAGCCCGAGAAGGGUUUGUCACCAUACCUUAUUAUCACUACACUUGCUACAGGGGGGCCUCCUGAAGGAACAGCAUUUGUUAAAUAAGAACAGACUCUUUCCCAACAAUAUCAACUAGAAAAGGCUCAUAAUCUUCUCAUUGCCAUUGUCCACCUCUCUCCAAUAAAGACAGGGUAAUUCCUCUCUCCUUAAGAGAACCCACUUAGUGUUGAGCUGGUUGCGGACUGCAGAGUUUUCUCUCUUUAGGGAGGAAAGUGUGUCAUUUCUUCACCAGGAAUUUAAAAAAAAAAAAAAAGCUUUUUUCUUCCUUUGCUUCUUUUAAAGGAAAAGACAACUCAACUCUGAACUUCUGAUCUGGGACUAUCUCAAUUAUUAUUGUGUCAACCAAAAACUCUUUGUUUCAUGACUUUUAUGACCUCUCUCACAUUGGGCUCAAAAUUCUGUUACCUGGCUAGGUCACUCACUGAAGUCCUGGGACGUGGGCCUGGAUGACUUCUGAUUAUCUGGAGAUCAACGUCCCUCACAGGCCCAGGCCUCAGUUCUCCAAAAGACUCCUGCCCCUGUAUGACUGGGCUAGGCCCAUCCAGGCAGUCCCUACUGCUUGUAGCUCAUCUCAGAGAAGAACACACCUUUGCCUGGGCCUUCACCCACCUGGUCAUGCUCUAAGAAAAGCCGACUGUGCCAAAUGCUAAGGUGUCAUGUGUGUCAGACGUGUAGUGCAUCGGUGAGUCGAGAUAAACAACUGGCUCCCUCAUUUCAACUACCUGCUCUUCCCAGUUAGCUGAAGGAAGCCAGGACCUACCUCUGGUCUCCGGUACAGAGGAUACCACCUAUCUGAGCUACAGAGCCUUUUACUCUAGGAAUAAAGGCCCUUCAUUGAGUUCAAUCCCAUAUUUGAAUUCUUGGUUCCCCAGCAUCUGAAAGCCUGUGACUUCUGAACCUUUAUCUGAAUUCUGUCCUAUCAUUUCCACCAUCCAGGACCAUUCGUGAGUCAAAAGCACCUCUGCAUAAAACGUUUUGCAUUAAUCUAUACAGCAACCAUUCCCACUUUCAGCAUGAGAUGGGGAGGGUUUAAAAAAAAAAAAAGUGAAAGUAAUAAGACAACCCUAGAAAAGCUGGACUUCUCAACUAUUCAGAGCUGGGCAUUCACACUGUCCUUUUCAUUACUUGGUACAAAAGUUUGAUUUUGCUGAACAUCACAAUCUUUAGUAUUUCAAAAUAAGUACCUAAACCCUAAAUUCACACUAAAGCAUCACUUGAUUUUUGGCCAAGCAGUUUUUCCUUUCCAUUUUCACAGUGAGUUUACUUAGCAAGCUCUCUGCCCAUGCUCAUGGAGCUCAGCUGAUGCUUCUUCUCUGGUCUUUCACUCUGUUACUGGGGCCAGUUUCUCAGAGAUGCCUUGUUUCACAUACAAAGCUGAACAUCUAUCCUAAGGCAGCUCCUAAUGGCACCUCUGGGGCAUGCACCAUUUCUUGACUUCAGUAAGAAAUCACUCUGAAAAUGUUUCCAAGUGCAUUUUCAUACAUUAAUAAGACUGCCCCAUCUCCUUCACAGAAUGGAUGCCGACAAUGGAAUGGCAGGACACUCACGGGAGGCCAGAAACUAUGUUCAUCUUGGAUUCCACAGUGACAGCAUGGAACAUCCCUCCUCCAACAAGAUGCUUGGUCUUACAGGGGAGACAGUUCUGCAGCCCACUUGUCUCUCCCUCAGAGCAGCUGCAGGAAACUCGAUGCCAGAAAACAGACGAGCAUGUUCUUCUCCCAAGAAGCUGCCAGCUGCCUUUACAGAGCAGGCAGUGUGGUAUUUGCAUCAAAGAUACACACAAACCUCUUCUUUCCAGCAAGGGUGCAAGCCUUCGCUUCCCCACCUGCUGGGCGUGAACCUCGAAGGAAA
Molecule: long non-coding RNA, 4413 nt
Organism: Bos taurus (domestic cattle)
Lineage: Eukaryota; Metazoa; Chordata; Mammalia; Artiodactyla; Bovidae
Source: Ensembl